UCUGGUUGAUCCUGCCAGUAGUCAUAUGCUUGUCUCAAAGACUAAGCCAUGCAUGUCUAAGUAUAAGCAAUUAUACAGCGAAACUGCGAAUGGCUCAUUAAAACAGUUAUAGUUUAUUUGGUAACUCAAAUUACAUGGAUAACCGUGGAAAUUCUAGAGCUAAUACAUGCAUAAAGGGCACACCGCUCGUAUUUAUUAGAUAACAGACCAAUUUAAAGGUGACUCAUAGUAACUGAUCGAAUCGCCGGCAUCUCGCUGCGAUAAAUCAUUCAAGUUUCUGCCCCAUCAGCUGUAGAUGGUAGUGUAUUGGACUACCAUGGCUUUCACGGGUAACGGAGGAUUAGGGUUCGAUUCCGGAGAGGGAGCUUGWGAAACGGCUACCACAUCUAAGGAAGGCAGCACGCGCGUAAAUUACCCGAUACUGGUUCGGUGAGGUAGUGACAAGAACUAACGGGCCGACUUAGUGCGGGGGACUGAAAUGAUUCGACUUUCUCGACCUUUACGAGGAACAGAUGGAGGGCAAUUCACGGUCCCAGU
RNAcentral lists this ribosomal RNA (537 nucleotides) under eukaryotic picoplankton environmental sample. Its description in RNAcentral is "bacterial SSU rRNA". It matches the Rfam family "Eukaryotic small subunit ribosomal RNA", at positions 1 to 573 of the family's 1831-position model. The record is from RNAcentral.